Molecule: ribosomal RNA, 193 nt
Filed under: uncultured Pasteurellales bacterium
Lineage: Bacteria; Pseudomonadati; Pseudomonadota; Gammaproteobacteria; Pasteurellales
Description: partial 16S ribosomal RNA
Rfam family: Bacterial small subunit ribosomal RNA
Source: RNAcentral
GGGAGUAACUACGGGAAACUGUAGCUAAUACCGCGUAGUAUCGAGAGAUGAAAGUGUGGGACCUUCGGGCCACAUGCCAUAGGAUGAGCCCAAGUGGGAUUAGGUAGUUGGUGAGGUAAAGGCUCACCAAGCCGACGAUCUCUAGCUGGUCUGAGAGGAUGACCAGCCACACUGGGACUGAGACACGGCCCAG